UCCUCAUUUUGGCUUACGAGUCC
This 23-nucleotide non-coding RNA is filed under the name Rattus norvegicus (Norway rat). Lineage: Eukaryota; Metazoa; Chordata; Mammalia; Rodentia; Muridae. The record is from RNAcentral.